Molecule: transfer RNA, 89 nt
Filed under: Phytohabitans houttuyneae
Lineage: Bacteria; Bacillati; Actinomycetota; Actinomycetes; Micromonosporales; Micromonosporaceae
Description: tRNA-Ala
Source: RNAcentral
CUGCGUGUCGACGCGGCCGCGUUGCGCGGGUUGGCGGCCCGCGAUCUGGCCGACCUGGCGGACGGGGUGUCGCCGGCUCCCGCGCUGGC